Molecule: ribosomal RNA, 253 nt
Filed under: uncultured bacterium
Lineage: Bacteria
Description: partial 16S ribosomal RNA
Rfam family: Bacterial small subunit ribosomal RNA
Source: RNAcentral
UACGUAGGGUGCAAGCAUUGUCCGGAAUUAUUGGGCGUAAAGAGCUCGUAGGUGGCCUGUCGCGUCGGCUGUGAAAACUCGGGGCUCAACUCCGAGCUUGCAGUCGAUACGGGCAGGCUAGAGUUCGGCAGGGGAGACUGGAAUUCCUGGUGUAGCGGUGAAAUGCGCAGAUAUCAGGAGGAACACCGGUGGCGAAGGCGGGUCUCUGGGCCGAUACUGACACUGAGGAGCGAAAGCGUGGGGAGCGAACAGG